This 465-nucleotide ribosomal RNA is filed under the name uncultured bacterium. RNAcentral's name for it is "partial 16S ribosomal RNA". It matches the Rfam family "Bacterial small subunit ribosomal RNA", at positions 28 to 507 of the family's 1533-position model. The record is from RNAcentral.
GACGAACGCUGGCGGCGUGCUUAACACAUGCCAGUCGAACGGAAAGGCCCUGCUUGCAGGGUACUCGAGUGGCGAACGGGUGAGUAACACGUGGGUGAUCUGCCCUGCACUUCGGGAUAAGCCUGGUAAACUGGGUCUAAUACCGGAUAGGAGCCAUUUUUAGUGUGAUGGUUGGAAAGUUUUUUCGGUGUAGGAUGAGCUCGCGGCCUAUCAGCUUGUUGGUGGGGUAAUGGCCUACCAAGGCGGCGACGGGUAGCCGGCCUGAGAGGGUGGACGGCCACAUUGGGACUGAGAUACGGCCCAGACUCCUACGGGAGGCAGCAGUGGGGAAUAUUGAACAAUGGGCGCAAGCCUGAUGCAGCGACGCCGCGUGGGGGAUGACGGCCUUCGGGUUGUAAACUCCUUUCGCUAGGGACGAAGCUUUUUGUGACGGUACCUAGAUAAGAAGCACCGGCUAACUACGUG